This 459-nucleotide ribosomal RNA is filed under the name uncultured bacterium. RNAcentral describes it as "partial 16S ribosomal RNA". It matches the Rfam family "Bacterial small subunit ribosomal RNA", at positions 28 to 523 of the family's 1533-position model. The record is from RNAcentral.
GAUGAACGCUGGCGGCGUGCCUAAUACAUGCAAGUCGAGCGGUAAGGCCCUUCGGGGUACACGAGCGGCGGACGGCUGAGUAGCGCGUAGGAACGUACCCCAAAGUGAGGAAUAAGCACCAGAAAUGGUGUCUAAUACCGCAUGUGGUCUUCGGAUUAAAGCCUUCGGGCGCUUUGGGAGCGGCCUGCGUAUGAUUAGCUUGUUGGUGAGGUAAUGGCUCACCAAGGCGACGAUCAUUAGCUGGUCUGAGAGGAUGAUCAGCCAGACUGGGACUGAGACACGGCCCAGACUCCUACAGGAGGCAGCAGUAGGGAAUUUUCCACAAUGGACGAAAGUCUGAUGGAGCAACGCCGCGUGCAGGAUGAAUGCCUUCGGGUUGUAAACUGCUUUUAUAGGUGAAGAUUAUGACGGUAACCUAUGAAUAAGGAUCGGCUAACUCCGUGCCAGCAGCCGCAGUAA